AACGUUGCUUUACCUGCGAAAUAGAAACGUAAAAAAAAAAACACCCUGGAUUGGCGGCGUAACACCACGGAUAGCAACGAUCCACUCUUCCAAAGAUGACACAAAACUUCAAGAAGCUUCUGCUGCUCCGCCAGGCAAUAGGGACUUCACAUAAAUUCCAUCGAGUUCUGGCCCACCCUGUGGCCAGAAGUAAGAAAACGUAAGAAUUAGAAAUCCAAAAACCUUCUUCAUUUACUAUAGGGUCACCACUGGUAAAAAUAAAAUGGGAAAAGUUCGAAGUUUAGACCUACUUCGACAAUUACAAGUCAAAACAUACCAGAAAACAUGGUUGAGACGGACGAGAAUUCCGUGAUCGAGGAGGAAAGUAUGGAUUGUCCAAAGGAGGUAAAUGGACUAAAAACUCAGAAAUGUAUCAAUCGGAAAGCAACCAAAAUAUAGGAAAGCUUAAGCCUAAAUGGCAAUAUGCGGUCGGGAUUGUUUUAAAGGUUACUAUUUUUUCUAUAAUCCUUCAGAUUAGUUCUAGAAACGGUUAAAUCUCAAGGGAUACUUUCAGAGUUAAGAUUGAACGUACGGCUCACAACGGGCAAUACUUAAUAUCUCUACAUUGCGUCAGUAGAGAUAAGAAGUGCAUCAGGUGUUACUUAAGAGUUACCGACUAUUUAGAAAGAAUAUGAAAAGAGUUCAUAAUCAAUGAUCCAUUGAAAUCAACUUAUCUAGAGAGGCUAUGUUCAAAAUAGGAAAAGCGUAUGCUCUUUUAGCCUAACUGGAAAUGAUAGUCCUUAGUAUGACUGUCUCAAAAGAGAUCGUUGCUCUGCAAUGAUCAAACCAUUGCCAAGAAAAGAAGGAAUUGACACUUUUGAAAAAGAAAGAGCUUAGGCAUUUGAAAAUACGCUAUUUCAAGAAAUAAGACGGAAAGGAACGUCGAAAAAUUGUCUUACGACGCUCUAAUAUUCAAUUAAUUCCAAGAAAAC
This is a long non-coding RNA of Stylophora pistillata, 971 nucleotides long. The record is from RefSeq and is a predicted model, not a curated record. Lineage: Eukaryota; Metazoa; Cnidaria; Anthozoa; Scleractinia; Pocilloporidae.